GAGAACUUUCUUGCUAGCUCUUGAGGGAGGAGGACCUAGCUGCCUAGGAGCUGAAGGUGCAGGCAACCAAGAAGGGCUGGAGAAAGACAUUGGACAGGAGAACAGGAACACAGACGGGAACCAGGACCUAAGGGACAGGUGUCAGGAAUGGGAACACAACAGGAAUUGGACCUCAGGAUCUUUGGUGCCAGGAAACCUCUGUCCGUUGCCGGAACUCCUUCCAUAGACUCAUACUCAGCAGUUCUGGAAACAUCCCCUUGAACGAUCCCGUGGUCUGACUCUCCAACCACUCACUGCCACCUGGCACAGUAAAGGAAUUUGACUCAGGAUUUUCGUCUGCUCUCCAAAUUGCUGGUGAUGUGGUGAGGUCCCUGUUCAAUCAAUAGUAACCUCUGGGAAAUGUAUAACUCUCUAACCUACAUAGCGCAGCAUAAUCACACUAGCUCAAGGGAUAGUUCUGGGAGUCUGCUUUGGUUAAGGCGACCUUCAUACAGGUUUUAAUCAGGUCCAUGAAGCUCUAGGGUUUUGCUUCAUUCGUUUUUUGUAACGUUUUGCAAACAAGUCUGCAAAGAAGGCAUCAACAAGUUUGAACAACUCUGACAAGACAAUAUGUUCCCUUCCCCUCUUCGAGUUACUGUGUCCCUGGGCAUGGGUCUGUUUAACCACACAACAAACAUGUUUAGGGAGUGGUGUGGGACUCCUACCUGAUUGUCCUGCUGCCGAUCCUUUGUGGGUUAGUGGUGCAUCCUGCAUGACUGCAUCCAGCUAGUAGCUGGAAUCACGUCCCAGUGCUGACCCACGCGUUCCAGCCGCACAGGCACUGUGGGAUUAUGUCUGCCCCCAUAAGGAUUUUGUUUUCAGGCUCCAUCAGGAAAGAAAGUCUCAAGCCUUUCAAUUCUAGUGAAGGGCUGGGCCUUGGAGUGUGGCAAGCAGGCACUGGGAGCAAGGGUCAGCAGGUGACAGGCGAGCAGGGCAGCCAGGGCCCAGAAGCACCAUCCCAUAGCCCAUCCUGGGUCAGAAAGACACUGAGGAAGGAAGAGCUGGAAAGGAGUGGCAAUAUUCUGAAAAUGCUGCCACCUUGUGUCUGCUUUGGAGAUCUGAAAACCUACACUCCAGACUCCCACACCGAAAUAGUAACUGGAGUUUGCACCGUGGUCCAGUGCCUUGCUAUGAAACAACCACUAGAAAGUGAGAGUUAAUUGUAUGGCUUGAGGUGGCUUGUGUAUCAAUUUGCAAUCUAGUUAGCUAGCUACAGCAGUUACUUGUGUGGCCCCAUUACUGUAGUGUCUGAGCUUAUCUAUAUAGUAGUAUGGCAAUGUGCAUAA
Caretta caretta (loggerhead turtle) is the source of this 1325-nucleotide long non-coding RNA. RefSeq lists it as uncharacterized. Lineage: Eukaryota; Metazoa; Chordata; Testudines; Cheloniidae. The record is from RefSeq and is a predicted model, not a curated record.